This 418-nucleotide ribosomal RNA is filed under the name Stenotus rubrovittatus (sorghum plant bug). RNAcentral's name for it is "partial 16S ribosomal RNA". The stretch from base 292 to 418 matches the Rfam family "Bacterial large subunit ribosomal RNA", at positions 2473 to 2600 of the family's 2925-position model. Lineage: Eukaryota; Metazoa; Arthropoda; Insecta; Hemiptera; Miridae. The record is from RNAcentral.
GUCUUUUAAUUGAAGGCUGGUAUGAAUGGUUGGAUGAAAAAUGAUCUUUCUUUAUUUUAUAAAAAUAAAUUAAUUUUUUAGUCAAAAAGCUAAGAUAAUUUUAUAGGACGAGAAGACCCUAUAGAACUUUAUUUUUAUAUUUUUAUAAAUUUUAUAGAUUUAUAAAAAUUUAUAAAAAUAUAUUAAUUUUGUUGGGGUGAUUGAAAAAAUUAUAUAACUUUUUCUAUUUUAUACAUUUAUAUAUGUAAUUUUGAUCCUUUAUUAUGGAUAAAAAGAUUAAGUUACCUUAGGGAUAACAGCGUUAUUUUUUUGGAGAGUUCUUAUCGAUAAAAAAGUUUGCGACCUCGAUGUUGGAUUAAAAUAAGUAUCAGGGGCAGAAUAUUGUUUACUAGGUCUGUUCGACCUUUAAAUUUUUACA